RNAcentral lists this unclassified non-coding RNA (267 nucleotides) under fungal sp. RNAcentral's name for it is "partial internal transcribed spacer region". The stretch from base 1 to 45 matches the Rfam family "Eukaryotic small subunit ribosomal RNA", at positions 1787 to 1831 of the family's 1831-position model. Lineage: Eukaryota; Fungi. The record is from RNAcentral.
AGUCGUAACAAGGUUUCCGUAGGUGAACCUGCGGAAGGAUCAUUAACACUGAUCAAAAAAAAACAUCUCAUUCAAACACUUGUGUGAAACAAACCCCCCCCUCAAAAAAAACAAAACAAAAUAUAAAACUCUUACGUAUCCUUUCUCUUUAAUUGCAAAAAAAAAAUUCAUAAUUGUGCUAAACACACACACACACACAAAAGAAAACAAAAGAAAACAACUCUUAACAAUGGAUAUCUUGGUUCUCGCGACGAUGAAAAACGCAGC